Molecule: long non-coding RNA, 485 nt
Filed under: Anas platyrhynchos platyrhynchos (common mallard)
Lineage: Eukaryota; Metazoa; Chordata; Aves; Anseriformes; Anatidae
Description: lncRNA (ENSAPLG00000017153.1)
Source: RNAcentral
UGCAUUUCGUUUAUGCUUUAAUUUGUCCUUUAAUCGUUCUUCAAAAUGAUCUGAGUUUUUGCAGGUGAACGGGUUUCUGCUGGUGGGUUCUGAGCUCUUGGCUUGUCCUUGGGAGACUUCAUUUCAUGCUGUCCUCUUCUGCAGAAAACUAGAAAAGCAACAUUUAUUUCCUAUGGAAUUAUGUAAGUAUUCCAACUGCUACAACUAUUGACAGUCCAGAAUAACAGGGAAAUUUACCUUUUGCAAAUCUUCAGUGUUAGUUUAGUAUUCUUAAUUUGUAAAGGGAUGUGUUUUAAUCUCCUUUUUAUAUUCCCUCUUUUGUGCUGGAUUGAUAAUAUUUCUUAGAUGUACUAACUGAAGGUUUCACAGAGUAAGCCAUCUAUUUUAUUUUCUUCUUACUCAUGAUAUCUGCAGCCUGAAGCUGGAUGAUGAAAGAGAGGUUUGACUUCUAUCCUUUCCAUGAAGCAUAAUUAAAAAAAUAACUA